RNAcentral lists this ribosomal RNA (313 nucleotides) under Anaplasma ovis. Its description in RNAcentral is "bacterial SSU rRNA". It matches the Rfam family "Bacterial small subunit ribosomal RNA", at positions 473 to 785 of the family's 1533-position model. The record is from RNAcentral. Lineage: Bacteria; Pseudomonadati; Pseudomonadota; Alphaproteobacteria; Rickettsiales; Anaplasmataceae.
UGGUACCUACAGGAGAAGUCCCGGCAAACUCCGUGCCAGCAGCCGCGGUAAUACGGAGGGGGCAAGCGUUGUUCGGAAUUAUUGGGCGUAAAGGGCAUGUAGGCGGUUUGGUAAGUUAAAGGUGAAAUACCAGGGCUUAACCCUGGGGCUGCUUUUAAUACUGCAGGACUAGAGUCCGGAAGAGGAUAGCGGAAUUCCUAGUGUAGAGGUGAAAUUCGUAGAUAUUAGGAGGAACACCAGUGGCGAAGGCGGCUGUCUGGUCCGGUACUGACGCUGAGGUGCGAAAGCGUGGGGAGCAAACAGGAUUAGAACC